AAAAGCAAAGGUUGAUGGAGCGAGAGGAACCCACUCGCAGACUCUUUUUUUUAGCUCAUGUGUUUCUACCUCAUGCUCUCUAGGAAACAUUGGCCUGAGAGCAGGGAGAACGAGACAUGGGGGGAGGGAAAAACAUUUUCUGAAGUCUCUGGUCAUCUGUGUGCAGUCUGCAGGUAAAGGUAUCAUGGUGUAAAAUAUUGAUGGGGCGACAAGUGUGAUCCUAAACGCCGGGCAGGUCUUUGCCCUUCUGAUCGAUGCAUCACACAGCGAGGGGCUGCCAGCAACCCCGCCACAGGCCGAACCACGGACCUCAGUACUGAUUCACGGAGCCUCACUCCUCCUGGAGGAGGAGGUGGAGGUGGAGGUGAGCGGGCAGAGGGAGGUCAGGGAGACCGGCCGCUCGUCCGGGAGCUGUGGUUCAUCGUAGUGAUGACGGCCAUCGCCCUGCUGCUGCUGGCCAUCGUGUUAGGUGUCAUGCUCCAUAAGGCCCUGAACAAACCCCCCUUCACCAGAGAGAGACCCCCGCUGGUGUCCCUGCCCAUGAAGAAGAGGCGCCCCAUGGCUGUUUAUCCAGCCAGCAACUCGGUUUUUGUGAGAGCACAUUUACUGUCACUAUUCACUACAUGAAGAAACAACCUGUUUAAUGGUCGACACUCUGCCUCGUCGCAGCAGAGAACAACAGACCUGUAACUUAGGACAAGUAAACUAGAAUACACAGUUAUAUAAAAUAUACAAUAGAAUACAUUAAAAAAAAGAUUAGUCACUAGUUUUGUUUUAUUACACAGCUCUCUCAUUAAAAAAAUUAUUAUUGCCCAUAUAUUAAAGUAUCUUUUUCUAUUCUAUAUUUGUGUUGUUGACUUUUGAAGUAGUUUGCCUGUAUUUUAAUUGAAAUGUUAUGUUUAUUUUAUACAUGCGGCAAAUUCCUUCUAUGAGGUCUGCGCUAUUUAACUAUGGAGUUAUAUUUGUGGCUCAUUUCUCAGCACAGAAAAAUACUUUUGCAAGCUCAAUAAUUAUAUUUUGUAGAUAAAUUAUCAUCAAGCAAAUAACUACUUAAUUUGAACAAACAAAAAAAAUCUAUAAAAAAUCUCAUUUAUGUUUUCCCAGGAAAAUCCCAGGCACAAAUAUAAUUCCAUAAUAUCAGUGAGACGGACUUGAUGAGUGUAAAUGAUACAUCCGCUCUCCUUUUCAGUUUGACACUGUGCCUGACACAACAGGCUUCUCCAACAGUGUGACACUCAAGGGCUUCACCAUGAAGAUAGAGGUACAAAUCAUCACAAUCACAAAAAGCAGCUGCACAGGCACGUGUGCAUAAAUAUCUGUCUUUCUCCGGCUCCCACCAGGAAGUGCUGGAGUCUAAAUGUGAGCCCAUGGAUGAGGUCGCGCCACAGGGUGAGCUGGGGAUCCUCAGUGUGAACUCCCUGAGGCGCAGCGUCAGCCAGGUGAUGGACGGGAAGUCUCUCGCGGGAGACGACGACACCUGGGACCCAAACAUUUCAGGCCAUGACAGUGGGAUG
This 1514-nucleotide long non-coding RNA is filed under the name Cottoperca gobio. RNAcentral's name for it is "lncRNA (ENSCGOG00000012033.1)". Lineage: Eukaryota; Metazoa; Chordata; Actinopteri; Perciformes; Bovichtidae. The record is from RNAcentral.